RNAcentral lists this ribosomal RNA (468 nucleotides) under uncultured bacterium. RNAcentral describes it as "partial 16S ribosomal RNA". It matches the Rfam family "Bacterial small subunit ribosomal RNA", at positions 28 to 507 of the family's 1533-position model. The record is from RNAcentral.
GACGAACGCUGGCGGCGUGCUUAACACAUGCAAGUCGAACGGAAAGGCCCUGCUUUUGUGGGGUGCUCGAGUGGCGAACGGGUGAGUAACACGUGAGUAACCUGCCCUUGACUUUGGGAUAACUUCAGGAAACUGGGGCUAAUACCGGAUAGGAGCUCCUGCUGCAUGGUGGGGGUUGGAAAGUUUCGGCGGUUGGGGAUGGACUCGCGGCUUAUCAGCUUGUCGGUGGGGUAGUGGCUUACCAAGGCUUUGACGGGUAGCCGGCCUGAGAGGGUGACCGGCCACAUUGGGACUGAGAUACGGCCCAGACUCCUACGGGAGGCAGCAGUGGGGAAUAUUGCACAAUGGGCGGAAGCCUGAUGCAGCAACGCCGUGUGCGGGAUGACGGCCUUCGGGUUGUAAACCGCUUUCGCCUGUGACGAAGCGUGAGUGACGGUAGUGGGUAAAGAAGCACCGGCUAACUACGUG